AUGAACGCUAGCUACAGGCUUAACACAUGCAAGUCGAGGGGCAGCAUCAUCAAAGCUUGCUUUGAUGGAUGGCGACCGGCGCACGGGUGAGUAACACGUAUCCAACCUGCCGACAACACUGGGAUAGCCUUUCGAAAGAAAGAUUAAUACCGGAUGGCAUAGUUUUCCCGCAUGGGAUAAUUAUUAAAGAAUUUCGGUUGUCGAUGGGGAUGCGUUCCAUUAGGCAGUUGGCGGGGUAACGGCCCACCAAACCGACGAUGGAUAGGGGUUCUGAGAGGAAGGUCCCCCACAUUGGAACUGAGACACGGUCCAAACUCCUACGGGAGGCAGCAGUGAGGAAUAUUGGUCAAUGGACGAGAGUCUGAACCAGCCAAGUAGCGUGAAGGAUGACUGCCCUAUGGGUUGUAAACUUCUUUUAUACGGGAAUAAAGUUAGCCACGUGUGGCUUUUUGUAUGUACCGUAUGAAUAAGGAUCGGCUAACUCCGUGCCAGCAGCCGCGGUAAUACGGAGGAUCCGAGCGUUAUCCGGAUUUAUUGGGUUUAAAGGGAGCGUAGGCGGGUUGUUAAGUCAGUUGUGAAAGUUUGCGGCUCAACCGUAAAAUUGCAGUUGAUACUGGCGACCUUGAGUGCAACAGAGGUAGGCGGAAUUCGUGGUGUAGCGGUGAAAUGCUUAGAUAUCACGAAGAACUCCGAUUGCGAAGGCAGCUUACUGGAUUGUAACUGACGCUGAUGCUCGAAAGUGUGGGUAUCAAACAGGAUUAGAUACCCUGGUAGUCCACACAGUAAACGAUGAAUACUCGCUGUUGGCGAUAUACAGUCAGCGGCCAAGCGAAAGCAUUAAGUAUUCCACCUGGGGAGUACGCCGGCAACGGUGAAACUCAAAGGAAUUGACGGGGGCCCGCACAAGCGGAGGAACAUGUGGUUUAAUUCGAUGAUACGCGAGGAACCUUACCCGGGCUUAAAUUGCAACUGACUGAACCGGAAACGGUUCUUUCUUCGGACAGUUGUGAAGGUGCUGCAUGGUUGUCGUCAGCUCGUGCCGUGAGGUGUCGGCUUAAGUGCCAUAACGAGCGCAACCCUUAUCGAUAGUUACUAGCAGGUCAUGCUGAGGACUCUAUUGAGACUGCCGUCGUAAGAUGUGAGGAAGGUGGGGAUGACGUCAAAUCAGCACGGCCCUUACGUCCGGGGCUACACACGUGUUACAAUGGGGGGUACAGAAGGCAGCUACACGGCGACGUGGUGCUAAUCCCGAAAGCCUCUCUCAGUUCGGAUUGGAGUCUGCAACCCGACUCCAUGAAGCUGGAUUCGCUAGUAAUCGCGCAUCAGCCACGGCGCGGUGAAUACGUUCCCGGGCCUUGUACACACCGCCCGUCAAGCCAUGAAAGCCGGGGGUACCUGAAGUACGUAACCGCAAGGAGCGUCCUAGGGUAAAACUGG
This 1437-nucleotide ribosomal RNA is filed under the name uncultured organism. RNAcentral describes it as "16S ribosomal RNA". It matches the Rfam family "Bacterial small subunit ribosomal RNA". The record is from RNAcentral.